GUAACCUGCCCCUGGGAAGGGGAUAACCCUCCGAAAGGGGGGCUAAUACCCUAUAUUGCCGGGGACCACUAAGGUCUCCCGGUGAAAGGUGGCCUCUGUCCUUCACGGGCAUGCUACCGCCCAGGGAGGGGCUCGCGGCCCAUCAGGUAGUUGGUGGGGUAACGGCCUACCAAGCCUAUGACGGGUAGCCGGCCUGAGAGGGUGGCCGGCCACAGUGGGACUGAGACACGGCCCACACCCCUACGGGGGGCAGCAGUGGGGAAUCGUGGGCAAUGGGCGAAAGCCUGACCCCGCGACGCCGCGUGGGGGAUGAAGCCCUUCGGGGUGUAAACCCCUGUCGGGGGGGACGAUGUGUCCUGGGGUGAAUAAUCCCAGGACAUGACGGUACCCCCAGAGAAAGCCACGGCUAACUGCGUGCCAGCAGCCGCGGUAAUACGCAGGUGGCGAGCGUUGCCCGGAAUUACUGGGCGUAAAGGGUGCGUAGGCGGCCGGACAAGUCGUAGGUUAAAGCCCGGGGCUCAACCCCGGAAAGGCCUACGAUACUGUCUGGCUUGAGGGCUGGAGAGGCUGGCGGAAUUCCCGGUGUAGGGGUGAAAUCCGUAGAUAUCGGGAGGAACACCGGAGGGGAAGCCGGCCAGCUGGACAGCUCCUGACGCUGAGGCACGAAAGCGUGGGGAGCAAACCGGAUUAGAUACCCGGGUAGUCCACGCCGUAAACGAUGGGUGCUAGGUCUGGGGAGGUAUCUCUCUGGCCGAAGCUAUCGCGUUAAG
RNAcentral lists this ribosomal RNA (770 nucleotides) under uncultured Thermodesulfobacteriaceae bacterium. RNAcentral describes it as "bacterial SSU rRNA". It matches the Rfam family "Bacterial small subunit ribosomal RNA", at positions 121 to 864 of the family's 1533-position model. Lineage: Bacteria; Pseudomonadati; Thermodesulfobacteriota; Thermodesulfobacteria; Thermodesulfobacteriales; Thermodesulfobacteriaceae. The record is from RNAcentral.